RNAcentral lists this unclassified non-coding RNA (254 nucleotides) under uncultured Alphaproteobacteria bacterium. RNAcentral describes it as "contains 16S-23S intergenic spacer region". It matches the Rfam family "Bacterial small subunit ribosomal RNA", at positions 524 to 776 of the family's 1533-position model. Lineage: Bacteria; Pseudomonadati; Pseudomonadota; Alphaproteobacteria. The record is from RNAcentral.
UACGGAGGGGGCUAGCGUUGUUCGGAAUCACUGGGCGUAAAGCGCGCGUAGGCGGCGCGAUGAAGUCGGGCGUGAAAGCCCGGGGCUCAACCCCGGAACUGCGCUCGAUACUGGCGUGCUGGAGGACGGGAGAGGAGAGUGGAAUUCCCAGUGUAGAGGUGAAAUUCGUAGAUAUUGGGAAGAACACCGGUGGCGAAGGCGGCUCUCUGGCCCGAUCCUGACGCUGAGGCGCGAAAGCGUGGGGAGCAAACAGG